CUCUCUCUCUCUCUCUCUCUCUCUCCAAUAUGGAGUGGACUAGGGGGCCUGUUGUCGGCCGUGGCUCCACCGCCACUGUCUCGUUAGCCACCUCUGCCUCCACCGGUGAGCUCUUUGCUGUUAAGUCCACGGAGCUCUCUAGGUCUAUGUUCCUGCAAAAGGAGCACUACUUUCUGUCUAAAUUAAGCAGUCCUUAUGUAGUCAAGUACUUAGGCUAUGAUAUUACAGACGAAGAUAGUAAGCCUAUGUACAAUAUUUGCAUGGAGUACGUAGCCGGCGGCACCCUCCACGAUGCGAUUCGGAGACAUGGAGGUCAGCUAGAUGAGCCUACGAUAAGAUUAUACACACGAGAUAUCUUACAAGGCUUGGAGUACUUGCAUAC
RNAcentral lists this unclassified non-coding RNA (382 nucleotides) under Hevea brasiliensis (rubber tree). The record is from RNAcentral. Lineage: Eukaryota; Viridiplantae; Streptophyta; Magnoliopsida; Malpighiales; Euphorbiaceae.